Molecule: long non-coding RNA, 255 nt
Filed under: Ananas comosus (pineapple)
Lineage: Eukaryota; Viridiplantae; Streptophyta; Magnoliopsida; Poales; Bromeliaceae
Description: long non-coding RNA (ACOM_LNC011672)
Source: RNAcentral
AAAAUCAAUGUGAAAAGUUAAGUAGGAAAAAGAAUUCGUUAUAUCCUUAAGGGCGCGUGUAGUUCGCAUUAUAUAACAUUACAGAUUAUUUGGACAUAUUCAGAUUUUUUGAAUUUCUAAAUGAGAUUACUACUGAUGUUACAUUAGCGCGUUUAGUUCAAAAUAGUAAUGUAAUGUUGGAUUACAAUAUAUAUAGUAUUACUAUAUUUGAUUCUGUUAAAAUUUAGUAAUUAUGACAGAAAAUAUAGUUUUUUU